UACGUAGGGAGCGAGCGUUGUCCGGAAUUACUGGGCGUAAAGGGUGCGUAGGCGGCAUGGCAAGUCAGAUGUGAAAUCCCCGGGCUUAACUCGGGGGGUGCAUUUGAAACUACCUUGCUUGAGUGCAGGAGAGGAAAGCGGAAUUCCUAGUGUAGCGGUGAAAUGCGUAGAUAUUAGGAAGAACACCAGUGGCGAAGGCGGCUUUCUGGACUGUAACUGACGCUGAGGCACGAAAGCGUGGGGAGCAAACAGGAUUAGAUACCCUGGUAGUCCACGCUGUAAACGAUGGAUACUAGGUGUGGGGGAGAUACUACCUCUGUGCCGCAGCAAACGCAAUAAGUAUCCCGCCUGGGGAGUACGGCCGCAAGGCUGAA
This 374-nucleotide ribosomal RNA is filed under the name uncultured bacterium. Its description in RNAcentral is "bacterial SSU rRNA". It matches the Rfam family "Bacterial small subunit ribosomal RNA", at positions 524 to 898 of the family's 1533-position model. The record is from RNAcentral.